GACGAACGCUGGCGGCGUGCCUAAUACAUGCAAGUCGAACGCUUCUUUCCUCCCUAUUUCUUGCACUCAAUUGGAAAGCGGAUUAGCAAACCGGUGAUUAACACGUGUUUAACCUACCCUUCAGUGGGGAAUAACACUUUAAAACAGGUUCUAAUACCGCAUAGCAUUUUAUGCCGCAUGGCAUAAGAGUGAAUGGCGCUGUCCGCGGUCGCUAUUAGAUUGUCCCGCGGUGAAUUAGCUAGUUGGGGAGGUAACGGCUCACCAAGGCCACGAUGGAUCGCCGACCUGAGAGGGUGAUCGGCCACACUGGGACUGAGACACGGCCAAGACGCCUAAGGGAGGCAGCAGUAGGGAAUCGGCGGCAAUGGACGAAAGUCUGACAGAGCAACGGCGCGUGAGUGAAGAAGGUUUUGGGAUCGUAAAGCUGUGUUGUUGGAGAAGAACAAGGACGGUAGUAAAUGAAGCUCCAGUGACGGUAAUUAAUAAGAAAGCCACGGCUAACUACGUG
RNAcentral lists this ribosomal RNA (508 nucleotides) under uncultured bacterium. Its description in RNAcentral is "partial 16S ribosomal RNA". It matches the Rfam family "Bacterial small subunit ribosomal RNA", at positions 28 to 507 of the family's 1533-position model. The record is from RNAcentral.